UGCCCCUUUGCGACCAUGCUCUACACAUGCAAGUCGAGCGGUACAGGGGUAGCUUGCUACCCGCUGACGAGCGGCGGACGGGUGAGUAAUGCAUAGGAAUCUACCCAGUAGUGGGGGAUAACCUGGGGAAACCCAGGCUAAUACCGCAUACGUCCUACGGGAGAAAGGGGGCUUCGGCUCCCGCUAUCGGAUGAGCCUAUGCCGGAUUAGCUGGUUGGUGAGGUAACGGCUCACCAAGGCGACGAUCCGUAGCUGGUCUGAGAGGAUGAUCAGCCACAUCGGGACUGAGACACGGCCCGAACUCCUACGGGAGGCAGCAGUGGGGAAUAUUGGACAAUGGGGGCAACCCUGAUCCAGCCAUGCCGCGUGUGUGAAGAAGGCCCUCGGGUUGUAAAGCACUUUCAGCGAGGAAGAACGCCUAUCGGUUAAUACCCGUUAGGAAAGACAUCACUCGCAGAAGAAGCACCGGCUAACUCCGUGCCAGCAGCCGCGGUAAUACGGAGGGUGCAAGCGUUAAUCGGAAUUACUGGGCGUAAAGCGCGCGUAGGUGGCUUGAUAAGCCGGUUGUGAAAGCCCCGGGCUCAACCUGGGAACGGCAUCCGGAACUAUCAGGCUAGAGUGCAGGAGAGGAAGGUAGAAUUCCCGGUGUAGCGGUGAAAAUGCGUAGAGAUCGGGAGGAAUACCAGUGGCGAAGGCGGCCUUCUGGACUGACACUGACACUGAGGUGCGAAAGCGUGGGUAGCAAACAGGAUUAGAUACCCUGGUAGUCCACGCCGUAAACGAUGUCGACCAGCCGUUGGGUGCCUAGCGCACUUUGUGGCGAAGUUAACGCGAUAAGUCGACCGCUCUGGGGGAGUACGGCCGCAAGGUAAAACUCAAAUGAAUUGACGGGGCCCGCACAAGCGGGUGGAGCAUGGUGGUUUAAUUCGAUGCAACGCGAAGAACCUUUACCUACCCUUGACAUCCUACAGA
RNAcentral lists this ribosomal RNA (972 nucleotides) under Halomonas sp. HL30. RNAcentral's name for it is "bacterial SSU rRNA". It matches the Rfam family "Bacterial small subunit ribosomal RNA", at positions 30 to 995 of the family's 1533-position model. The record is from RNAcentral. Lineage: Bacteria; Pseudomonadati; Pseudomonadota; Gammaproteobacteria; Oceanospirillales; Halomonadaceae.